CAGUCGCCGCGGGAAAACGAAGGGGGCUAGCGUUGCUCGGAAUGACUGGGCGUAAAGGGCGCGUAGGCGGCGAUCAAAGUCUUGUGUGAAAUCUUCGGGCUCAACCCAUAGCCUGCACGAGAAACUACCGGGCUUGAGUAUUGGAGAGGUGAGUGGAAUUUCCGGUGUAGCGGUGAAAUGCGUAGAUAUCGGAAGGAACACCUGUGGCGAAAGCGGCUCACUGGACAAUAACUGACGCUGAUGCACGAAAGCUAGGGGAGCAAACAGGAUUAGAUACCCCUGUAGUCCCUGUCUCUUAUAA
RNAcentral lists this ribosomal RNA (301 nucleotides) under uncultured bacterium. Its description in RNAcentral is "partial 16S ribosomal RNA". It matches the Rfam family "Bacterial small subunit ribosomal RNA", at positions 509 to 809 of the family's 1533-position model. The record is from RNAcentral.